RNAcentral lists this long non-coding RNA (221 nucleotides) under Lathyrus oleraceus (garden pea). Its description in RNAcentral is "Pisum sativum (pea) long non-coding RNA (PSAT_LNC041422)". Lineage: Eukaryota; Viridiplantae; Streptophyta; Magnoliopsida; Fabales; Fabaceae. The record is from RNAcentral.
AAAAAUAAAGAAAUAAGGUAAGAGAGAUCACACCAGAGAUUACACAUAUUCAAUCUUAAAUCAUACGGUCUAAUCUAGUCCCUAUGAGUUUCCUCUCGAGAUUUUCACAAAACAACAACUUGAACUUUUAUACAACUCAACAUCCUUACACCAACAACUUGAGGUUUAAUACAGGUUCAAGCCAACAACAUUACACUAAAUUUUUUAAAGGUUUAUCUUGC